GACGAACGCUGGCGGCGUGCCUAAUACAUGCAAGUAGAACGCACAGUUUAUACCGUAGCUUGCUACACCAUAGACUGUGAGUUGCGAACGGGUGAGUAACGCGUAGGUAACCUGCCUGGUAGCGGGGGAUAACUAUUGGAAACGAUAGCUAAUACCGCAUAAUAUUAAUUAUUGCAUGAUAAUUAAUUGAAAGGUGCAAUUGCACCACUACCAGAUGGACCUGCGUUGUAUUAGCUAGUAGGUGAGGUAACGGCUCACCUAGGCGACGAUACAUAGCCGACCUGAGAGGGUGAUCGGCCACACUGGGACUGAGACACGGCCCAGACUCCUACGGGAGGCAGCAGUAGGGAAUCUUCGGCAAUGGACGAAAGUCUGACCGAGCAACGCCGCGUGAGUGAAGAAGGUUUUCGGAUCGUAAAGCUCUGUUGUAAGAGAAGAACGGGUGUGAGAGUGGAAAGUUCACACUGUGACGGUAUCUUACCAGAAAGGGACGGCUAACUUCGUG
This 505-nucleotide ribosomal RNA is filed under the name uncultured bacterium. Its description in RNAcentral is "partial 16S ribosomal RNA". It matches the Rfam family "Bacterial small subunit ribosomal RNA", at positions 28 to 507 of the family's 1533-position model. The record is from RNAcentral.